This 74-nucleotide transfer RNA is filed under the name Ignavibacteriaceae bacterium. RNAcentral's name for it is "tRNA-Pro". It matches the Rfam family "tRNA". Rfam says of the family: Transfer RNA (tRNA) molecules are approximately 80 nucleotides in length. Their secondary structure includes four short double-helical elements and three loops (D, anti-codon, and T loops). Lineage: Bacteria; Pseudomonadati; Ignavibacteriota; Ignavibacteria; Ignavibacteriales; Ignavibacteriaceae. The record is from RNAcentral.
CGGGGUGUGGCUCAGCCCGGUAGAGCGCCUGGUUCGGGACCAGGAGGCCGGAGGUUCGAAUCCUCUCACCCCGA